GGCCCCAUAGUUCAAGGGAUAGAACGUGAGUUUCCUAAACUUGAAAUCCAGGUUCGAAUCCUGGUGGGGCCA
Molecule: transfer RNA, 72 nt
Filed under: Saprospiraceae bacterium
Lineage: Bacteria; Pseudomonadati; Bacteroidota; Saprospiria; Saprospirales; Saprospiraceae
Description: tRNA-Arg
Rfam family: tRNA
About the family: Transfer RNA (tRNA) molecules are approximately 80 nucleotides in length. Their secondary structure includes four short double-helical elements and three loops (D, anti-codon, and T loops).
Source: RNAcentral